This 78-nucleotide transfer RNA is filed under the name Bacteroidota bacterium. RNAcentral's name for it is "Bacteroidetes bacterium (sediment metagenome) tRNA-Pro". It matches the Rfam family "tRNA". Rfam says of the family: Transfer RNA (tRNA) molecules are approximately 80 nucleotides in length. Lineage: Bacteria; Pseudomonadati; Bacteroidota. The record is from RNAcentral.
CGGGGUGUAGCGCAGCCCGGUUAGCGCAUCUGGUUUGGGACCAGAGGGUCGCGUGUUCGAAUCACGCCACCCCGACAA